GCCUUCGUAGAUCAUGGGAGAUCGCCUCGACGAAUUACUGUGUUAGGCCUUGCCCCUUCAUACCGAGGAGUAGGAGGUUCGAACCCUCCCGAAGGCA
Molecule: non-coding RNA, 97 nt
Organism: Mycena haematopus
Lineage: Eukaryota; Fungi; Basidiomycota; Agaricomycetes; Agaricales; Mycenaceae
Source: the annotation of a GenBank genome assembly